This 251-nucleotide ribosomal RNA is filed under the name Blepharipa albicauda. RNAcentral describes it as "partial 28S ribosomal RNA". It matches the Rfam family "Eukaryotic large subunit ribosomal RNA", at positions 321 to 569 of the family's 3401-position model. Lineage: Eukaryota; Metazoa; Arthropoda; Insecta; Diptera; Tachinidae. The record is from RNAcentral.
UAUAACCAUGAGACCGAUAGUAAACAAGUACCGUGAGGGAAAGUUGAAAAGAACUCUGAAUAGAGAGUUAAAUAGUACGUGAAACUGCUUAGAGGUUAAGCCCGAUGAACCUGAAUAUCCAAUAUAGAAAAUUCAUCAUUAUGACUCUAAUAUUUUUAAAUAUUAUAAUAAUAGUGUGCAUUUUUUCUAUAGAGGACAUUGUAAUCUAUUGAUAUAAAAGAAAUUUAUUAUAAGAUCGAUUGCGCAAGUUU